Long non-coding RNA from Populus trichocarpa (black cottonwood), 344 nucleotides. RefSeq lists it as uncharacterized. Lineage: Eukaryota; Viridiplantae; Streptophyta; Magnoliopsida; Malpighiales; Salicaceae. The record is from RefSeq and is a predicted model, not a curated record. The transcript is spliced from 2 exons.
GGAAGGCAGACUUGGACAGUCCAUUUGAUCUCAGAAAAUAUCAAGAGAGUGACAUUUCAACAGCUGGAAAGAGAUUGGUUCCCGUGGUUAGGAAUGGCAAGUUGCUUAUAUUACUCGUUGAGUUCAUGACCAGACCAUGCCCGUUACAGCCAGAUUAUCAUGCUCGAUAAAGUAUAUAGCUCAGACGAGAGCCAUGUGCAUCCAUCCUACAGUGUUUUGUAUUUGGUAAAUAAUUAGCUAUGUAUAUUUAUUACUACUCCAAGCUGUUUUAUGGGCUCUUCAAUCCUCCCCUGAAUUCUGCUGGCUAUAUAUAUUUAUUAUGUUGACCUUUAUGUAACGUAAAA